AGUACCCUGCUUUGCCCGUGAUGGAUGUGAGGCUCGCUUGAGCCAACAUUUCCAACAAGCGGACUGCUAGGUCGCGCCGUGUGCAUGCCUCCGCGCGAGGAAGCCUGACGCGCGAUCGACAAGGCGGUCCCACCUGCGUUACGCAGGUUCAAACGACCUCCCCACACGGCAAAGCGGGGCCUUU
Molecule: non-coding RNA, 184 nt
Filed under: Gemmatimonadales bacterium
Lineage: Bacteria; Pseudomonadati; Gemmatimonadota; Gemmatimonadia; Gemmatimonadales
Description: 6S RNA
Rfam family: 6S / SsrS RNA
About the family: E. coli 6S RNA was the first non coding RNA to be sequenced, but its function was unknown until recently.
Source: RNAcentral